RNAcentral lists this ribosomal RNA (379 nucleotides) under Kernia nitida. RNAcentral describes it as "LSU rRNA". It matches the Rfam family "Eukaryotic large subunit ribosomal RNA", at positions 262 to 661 of the family's 3401-position model. The record is from RNAcentral. Lineage: Eukaryota; Fungi; Ascomycota; Sordariomycetes; Microascales; Microascaceae.
GAGUCGAGUUGUUUGGGAAUGCUGCUCAAAAUGGGAGGUAAACCCCUUCUAAAGCUAAAUACUGGCCAGAGACCGAUAGCGCACAAGUAGAGUGAUCGAAAGAUGAAAAGCACUUUGAAAAGAGAGUUAAAAAGCACGUGAAAUUGUUGAAAGGGAAGCGUUUGCGACCAGACUUGCGCCCGUCGAAUCAACCGUCCCUCGUGGGCGGCGCACUUCGGCGGGCUCAGGCCAGCAUCAGUUCGCUGUAGGGGGAGAAAAGCGGUGGGAAUGUGGCUCUUCGGAGUGUUAUAGCCCGCCGCAUAAUACCCCUCGGCGGACUGAGGACCGCGCUUUUGCAAGGAUGCUGGCGUAAUGGUCGUCAGCGACCCGUCUUGAAACA